GGACAACACAGAAUUGUGAACCCAAUACUGGUUUAUUCAAAUAGUUUGUAAUUCAAAGCAAUUGCUGCUCCCCAGACAGGAAUUUACAAAUGUCACAUUUGAUGGGAAGAUACUGUGUCAUUCCAAGGGGAAAUCAGGUCUGGAAAGGGCCUUCUGGUUGGAGAACCUCAUGUGUCCUGAAACAGCUCCAAAGCAGGCCAAAUCAAACAAAACAAAGGAGAACCACCCUAUGAACUUAAAAGUCAUAUCCCUACUCCAGCCACUCACAACAGUAUUGGCCACUUGUCACAGCAACACAGUGGAAACCACCACAGAGCCACUGUUUUG
This 327-nucleotide long non-coding RNA is filed under the name Cricetulus griseus (Chinese hamster). Its description in RNAcentral is "lncRNA (ENSCGRG00015034787.1)". Lineage: Eukaryota; Metazoa; Chordata; Mammalia; Rodentia; Cricetidae. The record is from RNAcentral.